Molecule: transfer RNA, 64 nt
Filed under: uncultured Prevotella sp.
Lineage: Bacteria; Pseudomonadati; Bacteroidota; Bacteroidia; Bacteroidales; Prevotellaceae
Rfam family: tRNA
About the family: Transfer RNA (tRNA) molecules are approximately 80 nucleotides in length. Their secondary structure includes four short double-helical elements and three loops (D, anti-codon, and T loops). Further hydrogen bonds mediate the characteristic L-shaped molecular structure. tRNAs have two regions of fundamental functional importance: the anti-codon, which is responsible for specific mRNA codon recognition, and the 3' end, to which the tRNAs corresponding amino acid is attached (by aminoacyl-tRNA synthetases). tRNAs cope with the degeneracy of the genetic code in two manners: having more than one tRNA (with a specific anti-codon) for a particular amino acid; and 'wobble' base-pairing, i.e. permitting non-standard base-pairing at the 3rd anti-codon position.
Source: RNAcentral
CUUUAGCUCAGUUGGUCAGAGCGUGUGAUUUGUAAUCUCAAGGUCGUUGGUUCGACUCCGACAA